RNAcentral lists this ribosomal RNA (742 nucleotides) under uncultured bacterium. RNAcentral's name for it is "bacterial SSU rRNA". It matches the Rfam family "Bacterial small subunit ribosomal RNA", at positions 9 to 796 of the family's 1533-position model. The record is from RNAcentral.
GAGUUUGAUCAUGGCUCAGAACGUACGCUGGCGGCACGCCUUAUACAUGCAAGUCGAACGCAGUAGCAAUACUGAGUGGCAAACGGGUGAGUAUAAUGUGGGAAUCUGCCUUUUGGUUUGGAAUAACACGAGGAAACUUGUGCUAAUACCGGAUAAGCCUUCACAGGGAAAGUUUUAUACGCCAAAAGAUGAGCCCGCACUUGAUUAGAUAGUUGGUGAGGUAAAAGCUCACCAUGUCAACGAUCAAUAGCUGGUCUGAGAGGACGAUCAGCCACAUUGGGACUGAGACACGGCCCAGACUCCUACGGGAGGCAGCAGUAAGGAAUCUUGCACAAUGGGGGAAACCCUGAUGCAGCGAUGCCGCGUGAGUGAAGAAGGCCUUUGGGUUGUAAAACUCUUUCGUCGGGGAAGAAAAUGACUGUACCCGAAUAAGAAGGUCCGGCUAACUUCGUGCCAGCAGCCGCGGUAAUACGAAGGGACCUAGCGUAGUUCGGAAUUACUGGGCUUAAAGAGCUCGUAGGUGGUUAAAAAAGUUGAUGGUGAAAUCCCAAGGCUCAACCUUGGAACAGCCAUCAAAACUUUUUAGCUAGAGUAUGAUAGAGGAAAGUGGAAUUUCUAGUGUAGAGGUGAAAUUCGUAGAUAUUAGAAAGAACACCAAAUGCGAAAGCAACUUUCUGGAUCAUUACUGACACUGAGGAGCGAAAGCAUGGGUAGCGAAGAAGAUUAGAUACCCUCGUAGUCC